UACGGGGGGAGCAAGCGUUGUUCGGAUUUACUGGGCGUAAAGGGCGCGUAGGCGGCCACCGCAAGUCGAUUGUGAAAUCUCCGGGCUUAACCCGGAAAGGUCAACCGAUACUGCGGGGCUAGAGUGCAGAAGGGGCAACUGGAAUUCUCGGUGUAGCGGUGAAAUGCGUAGAUAUCGAGAGGAACACCUGCGGCGAAGGCGGGUUGCUGGGCUGACACUGACGCUGAAGUGCGAAAGCUAGGGAGCGAACGGG
RNAcentral lists this ribosomal RNA (253 nucleotides) under uncultured bacterium. RNAcentral describes it as "partial 16S ribosomal RNA". It matches the Rfam family "Bacterial small subunit ribosomal RNA", at positions 524 to 776 of the family's 1533-position model. The record is from RNAcentral.